This 465-nucleotide ribosomal RNA is filed under the name uncultured bacterium. Its description in RNAcentral is "partial 16S ribosomal RNA". It matches the Rfam family "Bacterial small subunit ribosomal RNA", at positions 28 to 507 of the family's 1533-position model. The record is from RNAcentral.
GACGAACGCUGGCGGCGUGCUUAACACAUGCAAGUCGUACGGUAAGGCCCUUUCGGGGGUUCACGAGUGGCGAACGCGGGAGUAACACGUGAGUAACCCUCCCACAACUUUGGGAUAACGCUAGGAAACUGGGGCUAAUACUGGAUAUGUUCUCCUGCUGCAUGGUGGGGGUUGGAAAGCUCCGGCGGUUGUGGAUGGACUGGCGGCCUAUCAGCUUGUUGGUGGGGUAGUGGCCUACCAAGGCGGCGACGGGUAGCCGGCCUGAGAGGGUGACCGGCCACACUGAGUCUGAGGUGCGGCACAAGCUCGUAAGGGAGGCAGCUGUGCGGAAUAUUGCACCAUGGGCGCCAGCCUGAUGAAGAAGGGCCGCGUACGGGAUAACGGCCUUAGGGUUGAAAAACGCUUUCAGCAGGGACGAAGCUUUUUGUGACGGUACCUGCAGAAGAAGCACCGGCUAACUACGUG